CUGAGAUCCCUUCCUUGCUGGGUCCCCUUCCCUUGAAUUCUUUGCUUUGCAGGAUGUGGUUCAGGAGGAAACAGAAUGGUGGCACAGAAAUGAAAAGCUGGUAAUAUCUAGAAGCCUUCUGGGCAUCUCUCAUCUGAUGGGGCUCAGUUGGUGUCUUUCUAUUAAGCUUCCUAAGAAAUUACAUUUGCGCAUUAAUUGGUUUCCAGGUUGCUGAGCAGAGGUUCACGUGUUAAGACUAUGAAGUAAAAUGCGCUGCAGAUGGCACCAUUCUGUGUCCCAGCAGGCUCCAGGGAUCCUGCUGCCUACCUCCUCCACCGAUGCUCAUCCCUCUAUCACAGCCACCUGUGCCAGGUGCUGCCUGAGGUCCCCGCCCCGGGGUGGUGCCUGACCACCCUCAAGGUCUUCUGGUUGAAUAAGAAAAGCACAGGCCUUUCAGUCCUAGAUCUGUGUGUUUUGUCCAUCCCUGGAACCACAAGACUCUGGUAAGGCACCUAACCACUGGAUGCCCGGUUUUUCAUCCAUAAAAUUGGAGAGUAUCAGUGACGGAAAAUAUCCACCAACUUCCUGGUCUACAACAGGGGUUCAACAAACAAGUGGUACUUUAAGUCAGUGCUUAUACUCAUGCCGCUCACAUGGAGGUGAGAGAAAAUAAAAAGCUCUGAAACAGCAGAUCUCGGAAACAAGUGGUACCACUUCCUGCCAUGCAACUGAAGGUGAGGCCAGUGCCUGAGGUUGCAGACACCGCCACGUGGCCCAACAUGCCAGUCUACCUGAUUGCAUAUAUUUUAUGUGUGGGGAUUAGAAGUUUUUAUCACCGGCACAGUUGAGAAAAGACCUAAAGAUAUUUCUGAUGCUGAUCCAAGAAACUUUGAUUUGAAACCUGGCUGAUCAGAGUCCAUACCUCCUGUGACCUCUUGCGUCCUCCCCUGGCCCUCACUUGGAAAGGAAGAUGGCAUGAAUGCGAGGGUUAGGACCCUCGAAG
Molecule: long non-coding RNA, 982 nt
Filed under: Fukomys damarensis (Damara mole-rat)
Lineage: Eukaryota; Metazoa; Chordata; Mammalia; Rodentia; Bathyergidae
Description: lncRNA (ENSFDAG00000033348.1)
Source: RNAcentral